This 478-nucleotide ribosomal RNA is filed under the name Cupriavidus metallidurans. Its description in RNAcentral is "bacterial SSU rRNA". It matches the Rfam family "Bacterial small subunit ribosomal RNA", at positions 1 to 481 of the family's 1533-position model. The record is from RNAcentral. Lineage: Bacteria; Pseudomonadati; Pseudomonadota; Betaproteobacteria; Burkholderiales; Burkholderiaceae.
AUAGAGUUUGAUCCUGGCUCAGAUUGAACGCUGGCGGCAUGCCUUACACAUGCAAGUCGAACGGCAGCGCGGACUUCGGUCUGGCGGCGAGUGGCGAACGGGUGAGUAAUACAUCGGAACGUACCCUGUUGUGGGGGAUAACUAGUCGAAAGAUUAGCUAAUACCGCAUACGACCUGAGGGUGAAAGUGGGGGACCGCAAGGCCUCACGCAGCAGGAGCGGCCGAUGUCUGAUUAGCUAGUUGGUGGGGUAAAGGCCCACCAAGGCGACGAUCAGUAGCUGGUCUGAGAGGACGAUCAGCCACACUGGGACUGAGACACGGCCCAGACUCCUACGGGAGGCAGCAGUGGGGAAUUUUGGACAAUGGGGGCAACCCUGAUCCAGCAAUGCCGCGUGUGUGAAGAAGGCCUUCGGGUUGUAAAGCACUUUUGUCCGGAAAGAAAUCGCGCUGGUUAAUACCUGGCGUGGAUGACGACCGA